GACGAACGCUGGCGGCGUGCCUAAUACAUGCAAGUAGAACGCUGAAGGCGGAGCUUGCUUCUCUGGAUGAGUUGCGAACGGGUGAGUAACGCGUAGGUAACCUGCCUGGUAGCGGGGGAUAACUAUUGGAAACUAUAGCUAAUACCGCAUAAUAUUGCCUAUUGCAUGAUAGUCAGUUGAAAGGUGCAACUGCACCACUACCAGAUGCACCUGCGUUGUAUUAGCUAGUUGGUGGGGUAACGGCUCACCAAGGCGACGAUACAUAGCGGACCUGAGAGGGUGAGUGGCCACACUGGGACUGAGACACGGCCCAGACGGCUACGGGAGGCAGCAGGAGGGAAACGUCGGCAAUGGGUGGGAGUCUGACCGAGCAACGCCGAGUGAGUGAAGAAGGUUGUCGGAUCGUAAAGCUCUGUUGUAAGAGAAGAAAGAGUGUGAGAGUGGAAAGCUCACACUGUGACGGUAUCUUACCAGAAAGGGACGGCUAACUACGUG
RNAcentral lists this ribosomal RNA (495 nucleotides) under uncultured bacterium. Its description in RNAcentral is "partial 16S ribosomal RNA". It matches the Rfam family "Bacterial small subunit ribosomal RNA", at positions 28 to 507 of the family's 1533-position model. The record is from RNAcentral.